UUAAGCGAACAAGCGUACACGGUGGAUGCCCUGGCAGUCAGAGGCGAUGAAGGACGUGCCUAAUCUGCGAAAAGCGCCGGUAAGGUGAUAUGAACCGUUAUAACCGGCGAUGUCCGAAUGGGGAAACCCGGUGCACUUCGGUGCAUCAUCGUUAGCUGAAUACAUAGGCUAACGAGGCGAACCGGGGGAACUGAAACAUCUAAGUACCCCGAGGAAAAGAAAUCAACCGAGAUUCCCCCAGUAGCGGCGAGCGAACGGGGAACAGCCCAGAGCCUGAAUCAGCUUGUGUGUCAGUGGAACGGUCUGAAAGGCCGGCGAUACAGGGUGACAGCCCCGUACACGAAGGCACACAGGCUGUGAGCCUCGAUUGAGUAGGGCGGGACACGUGAUAUCCUGUCUGAAGAUGGGGGGACCAUCCUCCAAGGCUAAAUACUCCUGACUGACCGAUAGUGAACCAGUACCGUGAGGGAAAGGCGAAAAGAACCCCGGCGAGGGGAGGUGAAACAGAACCUGAAACCGUGUACGUACAAGCAGUGGGAGCCUUCGUAAGAGGGUGACUGGCGUACCUUUUGUAUAAUGGGUCAGCGACUUAUAUUCUGUAGCAAGGUUAACCGUAUAGGGGAGCCGAAGGGAAACCGAGUCUUAACCGGGCGUUAAGUUGCAGGGUAUAGACCCGAAACCCGGUGAUCUAGCCAUGGGCAGGUUGAAGGUUGGGUAACACUAACUGGAGGACCGAACCGACUAAUGUUGAAAAAUUAGCGGAUGACCUGUGGCUGGGGGGUGAAAGGCCAAUCAAACCGGGAGAUAGCUGGUUCUCCCCGAAAGCUAUUUAGGUAGCGCCUCGUGAACUCAUCUCCGGGGGUAGAGCACUGUUUCGGCUAGGGGGGCCAUCCCGGCUUACCAACCCGAUGCAAACUGCGAAUACCGGAGAAUGUUAUCACGGGAGACACACGGCGGGUGCUAACGUCCGUCGUGAAGAGGGAAACAACCCAGACCGCCAGCUAAGGUCCCAAAGUCAUGGUUAAGUGGGAAACGAUGUGGGAAGGCCCAGACAGCCAGGAUGUUGGCUUAGAAGCAGCCAUCAUUUAAAGAAAGCGUAAUAGCUCACUGGUCGAGUCGGCCUGCGCGGAAGAUGUAACGGGGCUAAACCAUGCACCGAAGCUGCGGCAGCGACGCUUAUGCGUUUGUUGGGUAGGGGAGCGUUCUGUAAGCCUGCGAAGGUGUGCUGUGAGGCAUGCUGGAGGUAUCAGAAGUGCGAAUGCUGACAUAAGUAACGAUAAAGCGGGUGAAAAGCCCGCUCGCCGGAAGACCAAGGGUUCCUGUCCAACGUUAAUCGGGGCAGGGUGAGUCGACCCCUAAGGCGAGGCCGAAAGGCGUAGUCGAUGGGAAACAGGUUAAUAUUCCUGUACUUGGUGUUACUGCGAAGGGGGACGGAGAAGGCUAUGUCGGCCGGGCGACGGUUGUCCCGGUUUAAGCGUGUAGGCUGACUUUCCAGGCAAAUCCGGAAAGUUAAGGCUGAGGCGUGAUGACGAGGCACCACGGUGCUGAAGUGACAAAUGCCCUGCUUCCAGGAAAAGCCUCUAAGCAUCAGGUAACAUCAAAAUCGUACCCCAAACCGACACAGGUGGUCAGGUAGAGAAUACCAAGGCGCUUGAGAGAACUCGGGUGAAGGAACUAGGCAAAAUGGUGCCGUAACUUCGGGAGAAGGCACGCUGACAUGUAGGUGAAGCCCCUGCGGGUGGAGCUGAAGUCAGUCGAAGAUACCAGCUGGCUGCAACUGUUUAUUAAAAACACAGCACUGUGCAAACACGAAAGUGGACGUAUACGGUGUGACGCCUGCCCGGUGCCGGAAGGUUAAUUGAUGGGGUUAUCGCAAGAGAAGCUCCUGAUCGAAGCCCCGGUAAACGGCGGCCGUAACUAUAACGGUCCUAAGGUAGCGAAAUUCCUUGUCGGGUAAGUUCCGACCUGCACGAAUGGCGUAAUGGAUGGCCAGGCUGUCUCCACCCGAGACUCAGUGAAAUUGAACUCGCUGUGAAGAUGCAGUGUACCCGCGGCCAAGACGGAAAGACCCCGUGAAACCUUUACUACAGCUUGACACUGAACAUUGAGCCUUGAUGUGUAGGAUAGGUGGGAGGCUUUGAAGCGUGGACGCCAGUCUGCGUGGAGCCGACCUUGAAAUACCACCCUUUAAUGUUUGAUGUUCUAACCUGGCGCCAUAAUCUGGCGUGGGGACAGUGUCUGGUGGGUAGUUUGACUGGGGCGGUCUCCUCCCAAAGUGUAACGGAGGAGCACGAAGGUCAGCUAAUCCUGGUCGGACAUCAGGAGGUUAGUGCAAUGGCAUAAGCUGGCUUGACUGCGAGAGUGACGGCUCGAGCAGGUGCGAAAGCAGGUCAUAGUGAUCCGGUGGUUCUGUAUGGAAGGGCCAUCGCUCAACGGAUAAAAGGUACUCCGGGGAUAACAGGGCUGAUACCGCCCAAGAGUUCAUAUCGACGGCGGUGUUUGGCACCUCGAUGUCGGCUCAUCACAUCCUGGGGCUGAAGUAGGUCCCAAGGGUAUGGCUGUUCGCCAUUUAAAGUGGUACGCGAGCUGGGUUUAGAACGUCGUGAGACAGUUCGGUCCCUAUCUGCCGGUGGGCGCUGGAGAAUUGAGGGGGGCUGCUCCCAGUACGAGAGGACCGGAGUGGACGCAUCACUGGUGUUCGGGUUGUCAUGCCAAUGGCACUGCCCGGUAGCUAAAUGCGGAAGAGAUAAGUGCUGAAAGCAUCUAAGCACGAAACUUGCCCCGAGAUGAGUUCUCCCUGAGACUAUAAGUCUCCUGAAGGAACGUUGAAGACGACGACGUUGAUAGGCCGGGUGUGUAAGCGCAGCGAUGCGUUGAGCUAACCGGUACUAAUGAACCGUGAGGCUUAACCUU
This 2913-nucleotide ribosomal RNA is filed under the name Cronobacter sakazakii. Its description in RNAcentral is "bacterial LSU rRNA". It matches the Rfam family "Bacterial large subunit ribosomal RNA". The record is from RNAcentral. Lineage: Bacteria; Pseudomonadati; Pseudomonadota; Gammaproteobacteria; Enterobacterales; Enterobacteriaceae.